Long non-coding RNA from Chlorocebus sabaeus (green monkey), 2158 nucleotides. RefSeq lists it as uncharacterized. Lineage: Eukaryota; Metazoa; Chordata; Mammalia; Primates; Cercopithecidae. The record is from RefSeq and is a predicted model, not a curated record.
AGGGGUGAAUAAGGCAGAAGCGGAGGGGACAGUCACAGCCAGGACAGGAAUGUCACCCCUAGCUGGCAGACAGCGCUCUGAGCAGUCUGGCCUGGGAUCCUCUGCCCUGCCCACUACUUCAGGAGGCCAGUGUGCUCACUGCCAUCCCACAGCCUGGGGACCCUGGACUCCAAACCUGCGAGUGCUGGAGCGGGCAGCUGGAGCGGGCAGCUGGAGACCACCCGGACACUUUAAAACACAGGUGCUCGGCGGGAACAAAUCUCUGCUGGGGUGGGAGGGGAGAGGGAUGGGGGACGCUGCGUCCCAGGCCCUCUGUGAUUUUCUGAUGGACUUCCUUCCUUGGGAGCACUGGCUCAGGGAGCUCCUGGCCUCUCCUCCUCUACCGCUUCCUCCGCCAACCGCCUCCACCUGCUCCCGGCCUGAUGUCCGCAAAGUCAUGGGUGCAGUAGUCCACGUCCAGGCUCACUGCGGAGGCAGCCCUCUUCAGACAGGAGGCAGAAGAGACGGUCCCAGCAGGUUAGCUUUUACUUUAAAAUUAUUAUGUAAUUAUGUAUAUUAUUAUUGUCAUCAACAUCUUUUUAUUCUGCAAAUACUAAUUUCAUGUCCAGUAUGGGUAGGCUCUGUGCAAGGUAAAUUACUAAGUUUUGUUAAUGAAGUCAAACCAAGUCAUGGAUUCUAUAAAAAGACAACUAUUUUAAAAUAUGGCAUCAAUGACAUUAUAUAGUUAAGAUAGUAUAAAGACACGACUUGGAACGAGCAAACGUGGGAACAAGGCAAGGAGAACAUUUAGCUUCCUUUCAGAGUGCUCACACUAAUUGCUGAUGAAACAUUUCUGCACUCGGCAGAGAAUCAGUCCAUAGCCCCCCUCUGAUUUAAAUGUGGCCCAGCUUGGACUUUGAGAGCAAAUGUCCCAGCGCCCCUGGGAAGAAGUGAUGCAAUUCUCUCUUUGUGCUCUGUUUAUCAUUUCUGAGAAGCAAUGACGCACCUGCCUCUUGCAGUUUGGUCUAAUUACUUGUCUGAUCUCCCCCACGGAGAUGCAGCUCUGUUCUCCCUUGGUCUCCAGAGAGUGGGGGCCGCAGACUCUCCUGGAGGAGUGGGGCUGGCCAUCAUGGGCGGGGGGCGGGCGUGGAGACCCUUCGAAGCUGAUCUGUAUUGCAGGGUGCGGAGUAGGUCUGGGGGUUCCUGCGCCUCUCAUCUUUAAAAACCAGCAAUAAGGUAGUUUACUGUGAGCCAGGCCCAUCAUUCUCUUUCCUCCCUGGAGCCAUCGACGAGUCUUCCCCUAAGGGCUGGAAGGGAGGGUCCCCUUUCUUUGAUUCCCCUUGCAGUUCCUCUGAUGCUGAAGAGUAGGGCUUGCAGGGACUCUGCCUCCUGCAGGGAGCAGCCACUGUUUCCAGGGACCCUCCCAGAAGAGGAGCUAAUUUCACACUUUGGGACUCCGUGGAAGCCGGCUUCCUGGCAGUUUGAAGCGUGCUUCUCACACAUCUUCCACCAGCUUGUUCGUCUGCCUAUAUCUGAGGAUCCUUUAAAGUGAUUGAAACAAAAUUAAGGGCAGAAUGAAUCUUUGGUGAUGAAAGUGAGAAUCUGGGAGAGAUGUGAAAACUGGAAGAGAAACGGGCAGUACCUCCAGGAUUCGCCUAAACAGAUGCUGUGGUUUCCAUCAAACCACAGGCCACCCCAGCAUCUCAGUGGCUUCUACAGGUUGUCCUGAGAGAGCUACAAGGCCAGGGCCCUUGAGGGAUUCCCAGACACCAGCUGCUCCUCCAGGCACCAGUUCCGCCCUCCACCUUUCUGUGCCCGUCCCAGACCCAGGCAGCCCAGGUGAGAAGCUAUGGGUAGGAGGUUUCCCAGUGGGUAGGGGUGCCAGACUAAGCAGCUAGAAAUAUAGAAUGCUGGUUAAAUGCAAAUUUCAGAUCAAUGAUAAAUAAUUUUUUGUGUAAGUGUAUCCCAUGCAGCAUUUGAAAUACAGUUUAAUCAAAUUUAACUAGAUGACCUGCAUGUUGUACGAAACUCCCUAGGGGGUGUGUCUCCAGGAUAGAGCACCAGUGGAGAAUGGUAGCCCACACUGUUAUGGGAUGAAGUGUGUCCCCCAAAAUCAACAUAUUGCCGCCCUAACCCCCAGAACCCCGGAAUAAAACUAUUAUUUGGAGUUAAGGUCUUU